AUCGUUGCCCCCCCAAACUCCGGUUCGGGCGGGGCGGAAGUUGGCCUCCCGUGCGUGCCUGCGCGCGCGGUUAGCCCAAAAGCGAGUCCUCGACGACGAGCGCCACGACAAUCGGUGGUUUUCUUGCCCUCGUUCCUCGUCGUGCACGCCCCGUCGCUCGAACGCGCUCCUCGACCCUCACGSGUCGUCGCAUCGGCGGCGCUCCCAA
This 208-nucleotide unclassified non-coding RNA is filed under the name Quercus arizonica. RNAcentral's name for it is "internal transcrobed spacer 2". The record is from RNAcentral. Lineage: Eukaryota; Viridiplantae; Streptophyta; Magnoliopsida; Fagales; Fagaceae.